GACGAACGCUGGCGGCGUGCUUAACACAUGCAAGUCGAACGGAAAUUCCCUGCUUUUGUGGGGUGCUCGAGUGGCGAACGGGUGAGUAACACGUGAGUAACCUGCCCUUCACUUUGGGAUAACUUCAUGAAACUGGGGCUAAUACCGGAUAGGAGCUCCUGCUGCAUGGUGGGGGUUGGAAAGUUUCGGCGGUUGGGGAUGGACUCGCGGCUUAUCAGCUUGUUGGUGGGGUAGUGGCUUACCAAGGCUUUGACGGGUAGCCGGGCUGAGAGGGUGACCGGCCACAUUGGGACUGAGAUACGACCCAGACUACUACGGGAGGCAGCAGUGGGGAAUAUUGCACAAUGGGCGGAAGCCUGAUGCAGCAACGCCGCGUGCGGGAUGACGGCCUUCGGGUUGUAAACCGCUUUCGCCUGUGACGAAGCGUGAGUGACGGUAAUGGGUAAAGAAGCACCGGCUAACUACGUG
RNAcentral lists this ribosomal RNA (468 nucleotides) under uncultured bacterium. RNAcentral describes it as "partial 16S ribosomal RNA". It matches the Rfam family "Bacterial small subunit ribosomal RNA", at positions 28 to 507 of the family's 1533-position model. The record is from RNAcentral.